GCCCCCACUCGUCGCUGCAAUCGAGAUUGUGGGUGGCCCCUCCAACCUACGCCGCCGGCAUCUCCGCCCCUUCCAUCGACGCAGCCACCGUUUCCACUCACUCCACCGAGGUGCAAGUGUGUUGGUUCAAGAGCCAUCGAAACUGUCAACUUCAUAGGAACUGUCAAUUCAUGUGCUCACGUAGCCACAACGGUCAAGCCUAGCAGGCCUCCCCCAUGCGGGUCUGCUUGUUUAGCCUGAAGUGGGAGCUUCUACUUCGUUUGGGUCAUUGCAAGCACAACCAAACACAAAAAUUACUUUUAGCUCUAGGUUUUUAUAGGCCUUUCUCAUUUGCAUUAAAACCUGCAAGCCCCUUCGGAUGUACUCCCGUAGUUUGUGGAUCCUCCUGCUAACUAAUGCAUCUGGGUACUACAUAUUUAUGGCCGAAAUGGCACCACACACAUAUAUAUAAGGCAAACCCCUUCACAAA
Molecule: long non-coding RNA, 469 nt
Organism: Lolium rigidum
Lineage: Eukaryota; Viridiplantae; Streptophyta; Magnoliopsida; Poales; Poaceae
Exons: 2
Source: RefSeq, a predicted model, not a curated record